RNAcentral lists this ribosomal RNA (579 nucleotides) under uncultured bacterium. RNAcentral's name for it is "bacterial SSU rRNA". It matches the Rfam family "Bacterial small subunit ribosomal RNA", at positions 102 to 694 of the family's 1533-position model. The record is from RNAcentral.
ACGGGUGAGUAACACGUGAGUAACCUGCCCCUGACUCUGGGAUAAGCGUUGGAAACGACGUCUAAUACUGGAUACGACUGCCGGCCGCAUGGUCUGGUGGUGGAAAGAUUUUUUGGUUGGAGAUGGACUCGCGGCCUAUCAGCUUGUUGGUGAGGUAAUGGCUCACCAAGGCGACGACGGGUAGCCGGCCUGAGAGGGUGACCGGCCACACUGGGACUGAGACACGGCCCAGACUCCUACGGGAGGCAGCAGUGGGGAAUAUUGCACAAUGGGCGAAAGCCUGAUGCAGCAACGCCGCGUGAGGGAUGACGGCCUUCGGGUUGUAAACCUCUUUUAGUAGGGAAGAAGCGAAAGUGACGGUACCUGCAGAAAAAGCACCGGCUAACUACGUGCCAGCAGCCGCGGUAAUACGUAGGGUGCAAGCGUUGUCCGGAAUUAUUGGGCGUAAAGAGCUCGUAGGCGGUUUGUCGCGUCUGCUGUGAAAUCCCGAGGCUCAACCUCGGGCUUGCAGUGGGUACGGGCAGACUAGAGUGCGGUAGGGGAGAUUGGAAUUCCUGGUGUAGCGGUGGAAUGCGCAGA